Molecule: ribosomal RNA, 372 nt
Filed under: uncultured bacterium
Lineage: Bacteria
Description: bacterial SSU rRNA
Rfam family: Bacterial small subunit ribosomal RNA
Source: RNAcentral
GUAGGAGCCAAGCGUUAUCCGGAAUUACUGGGCGUAAAGAGCGUGUAGGCGGUUCAGCAAGUCGGACGUGAAAGCUCCUGGCUCAACUGGGAGAGGACGUCGGAAACUGAGGAACUAGAGGGUGAUAGAGGCGAGUGGAAUUCCCGGUGUAGUGGUGAAAUGCGUAGAUAUCGGGAGGAACACCAGAGGCGAAGGCGGCUCGCUGGGUCACACCUGACGCUGAGACGCGAAAGCCAGGGGAGAGAACGGGAUUAGAAACCCCGGUAUUCCUGGCCGUAAACGAUGUCAACUAAGUGUAGGCGGUUGAAAAAGCCGUCUGUGCUGAAGCCAACGCGAUAAGUUGACCGCCUGGGGAGUACGGCCGCAAGGCUA